Molecule: ribosomal RNA, 795 nt
Filed under: uncultured Pelagibacteraceae bacterium
Lineage: Bacteria; Pseudomonadati; Pseudomonadota; Alphaproteobacteria; Candidatus Pelagibacterales; Candidatus Pelagibacteraceae
Description: bacterial SSU rRNA
Rfam family: Bacterial small subunit ribosomal RNA
Source: RNAcentral
ACGCCUAAUACAUGCAAGUCGAACGAAGUAGCAAUACUUAGUGGCAGACGGGUGAGUAACAUGUGGGUAUCUUCCCUUUGGUGAGGAAUAACACGAGGAAACUUGUGCUAAUACCUCAUAAGUCUUUACGGAGAAAGCUUUAUGCGCCAUUGGAUGAGCCCGCACUUGAUUAGUUUGUUGGUGGGGUAAUGGCCUACCAAGACUGUGAUCAAUAGCUGAUUUGAGAGGAUGAUCAGCCACAUUGGGACUGAGACACGGCCCAAACUCCUACGGGAGGCAGCAGUAGGGAAUCUUGCACAAUGGAGGAAACUCUGAUGCAGCGAUGCCGCGUGAGUGAAGAAGGCCUUUGGGUUGUAAAGCUCUUUCGUCGGGGAAGAAAAUGACUGUACCCGAAUAAGAAGGUCCGGCUAACUUCGUGCCAGCAGCCGCGGUAAUACGAAGGGACCUAGCGUAGUUCGGAAUUACUGGGCUUAAAGAGUUCGUAGGUGGUUAAAAUAGUUGGUGGUGAAAUCCCAGAGCUUAACUCUGGAACUGCCAUCAAAACUUUUUAGCUAGAGUAUGAUAGAGGAAAGCAGAAUUUCUAGUGUAGAGGUGAAAUUCGUAGAUAUUAGAAAGAAUACCAAUUGCGAAGGCAGCUUUCUGGAUCAUUACUGACACUGAGGAACGAAAGCAUGGGUAGCGAAGAGGAUUAGAUACCCUCGUAGUCCAUGCCGUAAACGAUGUGUGUUAGACGUUGGAAAUUUAUUUUCAGUGUCGCAGCAAAAGCGAUAAACACACCGCCUGGGGAGUACGACC